RNAcentral lists this long non-coding RNA (883 nucleotides) under Homo sapiens (human). RNAcentral describes it as "HSALNT0117160". The record is from RNAcentral. Lineage: Eukaryota; Metazoa; Chordata; Mammalia; Primates; Hominidae.
GUUUAUUCCCAUCUCAAAGGUCUUAGGGCAGUGGAUGCCGCCUUUGCUUCUGUUUGCUGCAGCCUGUUUGAGUGGCAGGCUCUUUGCCCUCGUUGGCCAGUCCCCACAUUCUGGUGACGCUUUUCUCCUGCCUCUUGGCCCCCAGUCACAUUUUCCAUGGUGACUCUUUCAACCUCAGCCUUCACGUUUCAAGUCAUGCAUCCACUUUGUUUUCCUGUUUCAGUAGACCCCCCUCUGAGUUUACUGAGCACUUUGAGACCACUUGGUACCAGGGCACAGCCUCCUCAUCUCCAAACGCAUGGGUUCCAUCACAAGCGGGCCUGAUCGCACAUGGCAGCUCUCGUCUCCCAGUUAUUGCAUGCACAUGUGUGUUUGGCCAGGUUGGCUUUAGGUUCAUUAAAGGCAGUGCCUUUUCUUCAUGUUUUAUUUCUCUCCAUCUGCAAUGUGUUGUGGAGUGGAGGCACCGUCCGUUCACGCACUCAGGCCUUCAGAACGUAGCUCCCGAGUGCUUGCUGUGGGCCCCAUUCCACCUGCUGGCUGAGUGGUGAACAAAGCUCAAGGAGCUGCCUCCUCCAAGCGAAGGGAGGACACCAGGCACAACAGCGUAGAGUGUGGAGUCAGGAGCGUUUGGAGAAAAGCAAACAGGAAAGGUUCCAGGCUUCCGAAACAACCCUCAGCUUCAAUGAUUCACUGGAUGGACUUGUGGAAUUCCCUGAGAGCUGCUGUGCACAUGCUGACAGUUUAUCACAGGGCAAGGGUACAGAUAAAAUAAGCUGGGGCCAGAGCACACGGGGCGGCAUCCAGGAGAAGCCCUGAGGCAGCACUUCCAUCACACUCGGCCCAGGAUGAGCUGCUUCCUUGGCCUCCGUGUGUGACAACCCGC